Molecule: ribosomal RNA, 594 nt
Filed under: uncultured Gammaproteobacteria bacterium
Lineage: Bacteria; Pseudomonadati; Pseudomonadota; Gammaproteobacteria
Description: bacterial SSU rRNA
Rfam family: Bacterial small subunit ribosomal RNA
Source: RNAcentral
AGCAGUGGGGAAUAUUGGACAAUGGGCGCAAGCCUGAUCCAGCAAUGCCGCGUGUGUGAAGAAGGCCCGAGGGUUGUAAAGCACUUUCAAUUGUGAAGAAGUUAAUAAGCUUAAUACGCUUGUUAGUUGACGUUAACUUUAGAAGAAGCACCGGCUAACUCUGUGCCAGCAGCCGCGGUAAUACAGAGGGUGCGAGCGUUAAUCGGAAUUACUGGGCGUAAAGCGCGCGUAGGCGGUUAUUUAAGUCAGAUGUGAAAUCCCCGGGCUCAACCUGGGAACUGCAUCUGAUACUGGGUAACUAGAGUUUGGGAGAGGGAAGUAGAAUUUCAGGUGUAGCGGUGAAAUGCAUAGAGAUCUGAAGGAAUACCAGUGGCGAAGGCGACUUCCUGGCCUAAAACUGACGCUGAGGUGCGAAAGCGUGGGUAGCAAACGGGAUUAGAUACCCCGGUAGUCCACGCCGUAGACGAUGUCUACUAGUCGUUGGUCUCCUUGAGGGAUUAGUGACGCAGCUAACGCAUUAAGUAGACCGCCUGGGGAGUACGGUCGCAAGACUAAAACUCAAAGGAAUUGACGGGGGCCCGCACAAGCGGUGGA